UAACUACCUACCCUUGCUGAAGAGUUGACAGAUUUUCAAAUCUACAGAUUGUGACAUAUAAGAAUGUGUGAAACCUGAAUGGUGGAUAAAGAUUGCGAAUUUGCACAGCUAUAAAGCUUACUAAUUAAAGACUACAAACACAAAGAGAGCAAGCCUUGUGAUGACUGCACAAUAACGAGGAUUCAGAUACAACGUGGUCGCCACCUGACGCCCACCUCCACAAAAAGCCAUUCUCAAAAGGAGAGAGACAUUCAUAUCCAGAAGAGGGAGUCGGCUGUAGGGUAGAGCACUUCAAAUGCAUCAAAGGUCCAGAGAGAAGCUUCUUCUGGUCACCUUGAUCUUGUGAUGCAAGGCAGGUGGGAGCAAGGGCUCCACCUCUGCAGACACAGAGAUGACGGGGUCGCCAUGCCGGCGUUUUAGUCCCGGUUUCCUCUGCUCGAGUAGUUGGUGGCCUCCUGCCUGUUCCCUAACAUAACUUCACUUUCCUUACCUGCAAAACGAAAUUAGUAUUUCCUCCCUCACAAGGUGCUUGAUGCCCUUCCCCUUGCGUUUACUUUGCCUGAGAGACUAUAUCAUAUCUAUGAUUUUGUGAAUGGGGCAAAAGGAAUUGAGAGUGUCAGGGUAUACCUUAUAAAUAAGCCACUAAAGGUUACAUCCUCAUUCCACAAACUGACCUAAACAAUUUGGCUGUCACUAAUAGAUUAUUUUGGUCAGUUAUGGCAUUUAGAGGGAGAAGAGAGAGUAUAUAUAUAUGGGUGGGGUGUGUGUGUAUGCGUGUGUAUGUGUGUGUUUACAGUCAAAAUACCAAAAUAUAUCUAUGUAUAUAAAUAUAUUUGCUUUCUUUGUUUUUGUUACAAUAAACUUGUACAUACAAUUCUGACACACAUAUUUUCAUAUGUAGGCACAAAAAUAGUCAUACAAAAAAUACCACAAAAGGUAAUAACAAAGUGGAAGAAGACAUAGGAACAGAGAACAAACCAACACAUAGAAAAAGUAACAAACAUGGUAGAUACGAAUCCAGCUAUAUCAAUAAUCGCGUUAAACAUCAAUGGUCUUAAAUAUACUAGACAGUGGAAUAUUAUUCAGCAUUGAAAAGAAAUGACCUAUCAAGCCAUGAAAGACAAGGAGGAACCUUAAAUGCAUGUUACUGAGUGAAAGAAGCCAAUCUGAAAAGGCUGCAUCCUGCAGGAUUCUGACUCUAUGACAUUCUGGAAAAGGUAAAACUACUAAGACAGUGAAAAGAUCAGUAGCUGCCAGGGGUUACGGGAAGGGGAUGAUGAAUAAGUGGGGCACAGCAUUUUGAGGAGGUGAAACUACUCUGUAGGAUACUGUAACAGUAAAUCCAUGUCAUUAUAUGUUUGUACACACCCAUAGAACACCAGGAGGACAGCACCAAGAGGGAGCCCUAGUGUGAACUGUGGACUCUGGUUGGUAAUGAUGUGCCUGUGAAGCUUCAUUGUUUGCAGCAAAUGCAUCAGUGUGGUGGGGGAUGUUUCUAAAUUGAUAAUGAAGGACGCCAUAGGUGUAUGGGGGCAGAGAGUUUAUGAGAAAUCUGUACCUUUUGCUCAAUUUUACUGAACAUAAAACUGCUGAAGCCAUCAUUCUCAGCAAACUAACCCAGGAGCAGAAAACCAAACGCCGCAUGUUCUCACUCAUAAGUGGGAGUUGAACAAUGAGAACACAUGGACACAGGGAGGGGAACAUCGUCACACACCGGAGCCUGUCGCAGGGUGGGGAGCUGGGGGAGGGAGAGCAUUAAGACAAAUACCUAAUGCAUGUGGGGCUUAAAACCUAGAUGAUAGGUUGAUAGGUGCAGCAAACCACCAUGGCACAUGUAUACCUAUGUAACAAACCUGCACAUUCUGCACAUGUAUCCCAGAACUUAAAGUAAAAUAUAUUAAAAAAAUUAAAGUCUAUUUUAAAAAAAGAAAAACAAUCAGCUAACCUACUUUGGUAGCUCUGUUCUGCGCUGUCGGGUCUUCCAUCCUAGCGUGUGACACAGGAGGGUUUCGCUGGCAGGACCCGCCCACUGCACAUGCAGGUUCAGGUGACAGAGACCUCUGGAAAGAUGAGGCCCGUGGGAGCAGGGGGCUUCUUGUUGACACUGAAGGUCAGGCUUCAGGAAUGCCAGGGGCUCAUAAAAUCUUUUUCACUGAACAUUAUGCUGAGCAGGAUUCAUUUUACCAGUGAAAAAAUAUUUCUGACAUCCUUUGUGCUUUUUAACAAAGCCUGUGGUGUGGAUUUGCAUGAUUCUUAGAUUGCUGAGUAACCACUUCGGGAGGGUUCUUGAUUAGGGCACUAAAAAUGUUAACACAACACCCGUGGGAUGUAGAUUAAGGUCAACUUGUCCUUGUGCGUCUCUCCUAGUGUUGAUGGCAGAGUCUUAGUAUUUCAGCUGACGAAAUCUCUGCCCAUUCUCUUCCAAUGUUCCCUAAUAAGCUACAGGAGGACAGAGACAAAAGUUUGACUUCAUUAGUAACUUUUGGAAGUUGCCCAAUUUAGGAAAAAGAGUUAAUAAAUCAGGAAUUUUAUAAGAACUUUUUGUUAAAUCUGUAGUUAUUCAAAUCAGCCUCAGCAUGAUAAGACAACACUACAGGUUAUUAUAAAUAGUUGAAAAAGAAAAAUUAAAUUCCAACCAAACAAUUGAUCCUUAACUUUUUUUUUUUUUGAGA
This 2672-nucleotide long non-coding RNA is filed under the name Homo sapiens (human). RNAcentral describes it as "HSALNT0158106". Lineage: Eukaryota; Metazoa; Chordata; Mammalia; Primates; Hominidae. The record is from RNAcentral.